This 236-nucleotide unclassified non-coding RNA is filed under the name fungal sp. RNAcentral's name for it is "partial internal transcribed spacer region". The stretch from base 1 to 46 matches the Rfam family "Eukaryotic small subunit ribosomal RNA", at positions 1786 to 1831 of the family's 1831-position model. Lineage: Eukaryota; Fungi. The record is from RNAcentral. RNAcentral also lists the same sequence under 1 other name.
AAGUCGUAACAAGGUUUCCGUAGGUGAACCUGCGGAAGGAUCAUUAUCAAUUUUACAGUCCUGGGAUGGGGGUAAAAACUCCAUCCCAUGCUGUUCAACCCUUUGUCUUUUGCGUACUGUAUGUUUCCUCGGCGGGUUCGCCCGCCGAUAGGACACUUCAAAACCUUUUGUAAUUGCAAUCAGCGUCAGAAAAACUAUAAUAGUUACAACUUUCAACAACGGAUCUCUUGGUUCUG